This 69-nucleotide transfer RNA is filed under the name Syrista parreyssii. Its description in RNAcentral is "tRNA-Ser". The record is from RNAcentral. Lineage: Eukaryota; Metazoa; Arthropoda; Insecta; Hymenoptera; Cephidae.
AAUUAAUGAACUUGAAUAAGUGUAUGUUUUGAAAACAUAAUAUAUAUAUAUAAUAUUUUUUUUUAAUWC